Molecule: small RNA, 33 nt
Filed under: Anaerobutyricum hallii
Lineage: Bacteria; Bacillati; Bacillota; Clostridia; Lachnospirales; Lachnospiraceae
Description: CRISPR_Spacer
Source: RNAcentral
CGGAAGUACCAACGGCCACUGUAAGCACAAGCG